ACCACCAAUAGUUCCACACAAGGCAGGUCACACCCCUCACACUAAGCUCUGAAUUCUGGGUCUGGAGAUUCUGGAUUGAGAAAUUUCUCCUUUUCUCUUUGUGCUUCGGAGCCUGGACACUUCCUGUCUACUUUCUGGUCUUUCUAUGGGCAGGACUGGCCAAGGCUAGUGAUUGGCCACUAGGGGUGAAAGGAGAGAGUCUAGACUACCUCCCGGCCUUCUGGAUCAGGACAUAUAUUUGGCCAUGGUCGCAAGGGAGGAUGCUGGAGCCCCUGGGUUUCUGGAAGGCACAUUCUCAGCCACUGUCACCAACAUCAGGACAUCAGCGUGACUGUCAGGAGACGGCCCGCACGGUGCUAGGCACGCAGACUUGGAGGCUAGAAGGCCCGCCUUCCACACCGGCUGAGGGUCUGUGGGCUCCUUACUCAACGUCUCUGAACCUUGCACUCCUCAUCUGUGACAUGGAGAUUCUGUCACCCUUUCCCAGGGCUGUCUUCAAUAUUUAGAGCAUGAAAUAACACAUGAAAUGUCUAUCAAGAUUGAUUUUCUCUGCUUCUCUGUUCCCCAUGGUACAAAAUGCCCACCAUUCUCGCU
Long non-coding RNA from Lemur catta (Ring-tailed lemur), 594 nucleotides. RefSeq lists it as uncharacterized. The record is from RefSeq and is a predicted model, not a curated record. The transcript is spliced from 3 exons. NCBI's taxonomy places the organism in Eukaryota, Metazoa, Chordata, Mammalia, Primates, Lemuridae.